This 484-nucleotide ribosomal RNA is filed under the name Anisistira rugipennis. RNAcentral describes it as "partial 16S ribosomal RNA". It matches the Rfam family "Bacterial large subunit ribosomal RNA", at positions 1844 to 2600 of the family's 2925-position model. The record is from RNAcentral. Lineage: Eukaryota; Metazoa; Arthropoda; Insecta; Coleoptera; Tenebrionidae.
UUUAAGGUCUGACCUGCCCACUGACAAAGUUAAAUGGCCGCAGUAUAUUAACUGUGCAAAGGUAGCAUAAUCAUUAGUUCUUUAAUUGUGAGCUGGAAUGAAAGGUUUUAUGAGGAAUAAAUUGUCUCUAUUAAAAAGUUAGAAUUUUAUUUUUAAGUAAGAAAGCUUAAAUGGGUUAGAAAGACGAGAAGACCCUAUAGAGUUUUAUUUCUCUUAUUAAUUUGUUUAGUUUUAAUUUAAGUAAUAAGAGUAAUUUUGUUGGGGUGAUAGAUAAAUUGAAUAAACUUUUUAUAUAUUUUACCACUAAUGUGUGAGUGAAUGAUCCUUUAAAAGAUUAAAAGAUUAAAUUACCUUAGGGAUAACAGCGUAAUUUCUUUUGAGAGUUCAAAUCGAAAAAGAAGUUUGCGACCUCGAUGUUGGAUUAAAAUAAAAAUGGGGUGCAGAAGCUUCAUGAUUAGGUCUGUUCGACCUUUAAAAUUUUACA